GCGGGAGUAGCUCAGCUGGUAGAGCUUCAGCCUUCCAAGCUGGAUGUCGCGAGUUCAAAUCUCGUCUCCCGCUCCA
Molecule: transfer RNA, 76 nt
Filed under: Desulfobacterales bacterium CG23_combo_of_CG06-09_8_20_14_all_52_9
Lineage: Bacteria; Pseudomonadati; Thermodesulfobacteriota; Desulfobacteria; Desulfobacterales
Description: tRNA-Gly
Rfam family: tRNA
About the family: Transfer RNA (tRNA) molecules are approximately 80 nucleotides in length.
Source: RNAcentral